Molecule: ribosomal RNA, 497 nt
Filed under: uncultured bacterium
Lineage: Bacteria
Description: partial 16S ribosomal RNA
Rfam family: Bacterial small subunit ribosomal RNA
Source: RNAcentral
GAUGAACGCUGGCGGCGUGCCUAAUACAUGCAAGUCGAGCGAACAGACGAGGAGCUUGCUCCUCUGACGUUAGCGGCGGACGGGUGAGUAACACGUGGAUAACCUACCUAUAAGACUGGGAUAACUUCGGGAAACCGGAGCUAAUACCGGAUAAUAUAUUGAACCGCAUGGUUCAAUAGUGAAAGACGGUUUUGCUGUCACUUAUAGAUGGAUCCGCGCCGCAUUAGCUAGUUGGUAAGGUAACGGCUUACCAAGGCAACGAUGCGUAGCCGACCUGAGAGGGUGAUCGGCGACACUGGAACUGAGACACGGUCCAGACUCCUACGGGAGGCAGCAGUAGGGAAUCUUCCGCAGAGGGCGAAAGCCUGACGGAGCAACGCCGCGUGAGUGAUGAAGGUCUUCGGAUCGUAAAACUCUGUUAUUAGGGAAGAACAAGUGUGUAAGUAACUAUGCACGUCUUGACGGUACCUAAUCAGAAAGCCACGGCUAACUACGUG